AUACGUAGGGUGCAAGCGUUAAUCGGAAUUACUGGGCGUAAAGCGUGCGCAGGCGGUUUUGUAAGAAAGUGGUGAAAUCCCCGGGGUCAACCUGGGAACUGCCCUUGUGACUGCCAGGCUGGAGGGCCGCAGCGGGGGAUGGAAUUCCGCGUGUAGCAGUGAGAUGCGUAGAUAUGCGGAGGAACACCGAUGGCGAAGACAAUCCCCUGGGCCUGCACUGACGCUCAUGCACGAAAGCGUGGGGAGCAAACAGGAUUAGAUACCCUGGUAGUCCACGCCCUAAACGAUGUCAACUGGUUGUUGGGGAUUUAUUUUCUCAGUAACGAAGCUAACGCGUGAAGUUGACCGCCUGGGGAGUACGGCCGCAAGGUUAAAACUCAAAGGAAUUGACGGGG
RNAcentral lists this ribosomal RNA (395 nucleotides) under uncultured bacterium. RNAcentral describes it as "partial 16S ribosomal RNA". It matches the Rfam family "Bacterial small subunit ribosomal RNA", at positions 523 to 918 of the family's 1533-position model. The record is from RNAcentral.